This 427-nucleotide ribosomal RNA is filed under the name uncultured bacterium. Its description in RNAcentral is "partial 16S ribosomal RNA". It matches the Rfam family "Bacterial small subunit ribosomal RNA", at positions 355 to 774 of the family's 1533-position model. The record is from RNAcentral.
UGGGGAAUAUUGCACAAUGGGCGCAAGCCUGAUACAGCCAUGCCGCGUGUAUGAAGAAGGCCUUCGGGUUGUAAAGUACUUUCAGCGGGGAGGAAGGCGAUAAGGUUAAUAACCUUGUCGAUUGACGUUACCCGCAGAAGAAGCACCGGCUAACUCCGUGCCAGCAGCCGCGGUAAUACGGAGGGUGCAAGCGUUAAUCGGAAUUACUGGGCGUAAAGCGCACGCAGGCGGUCUGUCAAGUCGGAUGUGAAAUCCCCGGGCUCAACCUGGGAACUGCAUUCGAAACUGGCAGGCUAGAGUCUUGUAGAGGGGGGUAGAAUUCCAGGUGUAGCGGUGAAAUGCGUAGAGAUCUGGAGGAAUACCGGUGGCGAAGGCGGCCCCCUGGACAAAGACUGACGCUCAGGUGCGAAAGCGUGGGGAGCAAACA